Molecule: transfer RNA, 72 nt
Filed under: Heterocephalus glaber (naked mole-rat)
Lineage: Eukaryota; Metazoa; Chordata; Mammalia; Rodentia; Bathyergidae
Rfam family: tRNA
About the family: Transfer RNA (tRNA) molecules are approximately 80 nucleotides in length. Their secondary structure includes four short double-helical elements and three loops (D, anti-codon, and T loops).
Source: Rfam by way of RNAcentral
AGGGGAGUAGCUUGGUGGUAUAGCAUUUGCCUAGAAUGCAAAAGGCUCUAGGUUUGACACCCAGCACCUCAG